This is a long non-coding RNA of Peromyscus californicus insignis, 1314 nucleotides long. RefSeq lists it as uncharacterized. The transcript is spliced from 2 exons. NCBI's taxonomy places the organism in Eukaryota, Metazoa, Chordata, Mammalia, Rodentia, Cricetidae. The record is from RefSeq and is a predicted model, not a curated record.
GUUGUGUCUGUCACCGCCGCAUACUUGAAUGCCCGGUGUUGCUCCGUGGACGAGACCCUUGAUCUGUAAUAGGAUGUGGCCAAGAUUCAUGAAAACCAAGCAUGAGCGCGCGAGCUGUGCCGCUACCUCUCCUCGCGACUUGACUGGACCCCUCUCUGAAAUGGAGAUGCUUCCUUGGGACCAACGCUGGGCUGGGCAGUAGUGGAAGCUCCUGGCUGGUCUUCAGUGCUGUUUUUGUUUUGUUGAGCUUUUCUUUUCUUUUUGUUUUGUUUUUGAGACAGGGUGUUUCUGUCCUGGCUGUCCUGGAACUCACCUUGUAGACCAGGCUGGCCUUGAACUCACAGACAUCCGCCUUUCUUUGCCUCCAGAGUGCUGGGAUUAAAGGUGUGUGCCACUAUGCCUUGCUGAGUUUUUCAAUUUAAUUCAUUUCGGUCCAAACUGAAUGGCACACAAGCCUGUAAUUCCAGCAGAGGGAAACAGAGGAAGGCAGAUCUCGGAUUUCCAGGACAGAGCAACACAGUGAAAAAACAACCAAACAAAACCACAGUAGGUGGGCCAACCAUGACGGCAAAUGCUAACCCCAGCACUUGGAUGAUGGAGUCAGGAGGAUCGGCAGGAGUUGAGGCCAUACUUGGCCACAUAGGACAGAGUCAGCCUGGGCCAUAUGAGACUGUCUCAAAAACAAAAAAAACAAAAAACCAAAGCAACAACAAUAAAUAUUACAGAAGGCCACAGUACUGCUAUAGGAGAUACAAAACUCUACAGGCAGAGAGGGAAGGUCUUCAGCUCCUGCUUACCUACUGAGUGCUGGACAUAGGCCAAGCCCUCCCCCAUGUGUCUCAUGAACAUGUCUUAUGGGCUCUGUGAAUGGAACCUAGAGGAUUAGUAGCCACCAUGUAUGUGCUGGAUACUUUAAAAAGAUUCUGGAGCUGGGGAGAUGGGACGGUGAGUGAAAGUGCUCACUGCACUCCAGAGACCCACGUUGAUAGGAUGUCAGGCAUCUAGUCAAAUCACUUCUACGGCCAAAUGGACGGCGGAGACAAGAGGAUCACCUGGAAGCGGGCAGACCAGGCUGUGCAGCAUCAGAAACAAGAGAGACCUGCUUUAACAAAGUGGAAGGUGGGAACUACUCCCCAAAGUUGUCCUUUGGUUUCUAUGAGUGCUGUGGUACAGGCGUGCACACUCCCGCUCUUUGAAACACACAAUUAAUUCCUUUUUUCUUGUUUUGUUCUUUUGAGACAGGGUUUCUCCUUGUCGUUUUUGGUGACUGUCCUGGAUCUUGCUCUGUAGACCAGGCUGGCAAUUAAUUCUUUU